CCCUUAGAUGUUCUGGGCCGCACGCGCGCUACACUGAUGCAUUCAACGAGUUUUGUUUGUUCCUUGGCCGAGAGGCCUGGGCAAUCUUUUGAACUUGCAUCGUGAUAGGGAUAGAUUAUUGCAAUUAUUAAUCUUCAACGAGGAAUGCCUAGUAAACGCAAGUCACCAGCUUGCAUUGAUUACGUCCCUGCCCUUUGUACACACCGCCCGUCGCCCCUACCGAUUGAAUGAUCCGAUGAAUAUCAUGGAUUGAGGAUGCAAGUAGGUUCGCCUAUCUUCAUCUUCGAGAAGUGAAGUAAAUCUUAUCAUUUAGAGGAAGGAGAAGUCGUAACA
This 333-nucleotide ribosomal RNA is filed under the name uncultured eukaryote. RNAcentral's name for it is "partial 18S ribosomal RNA". It matches the Rfam family "Eukaryotic small subunit ribosomal RNA", at positions 1470 to 1796 of the family's 1831-position model. The record is from RNAcentral.